Molecule: ribosomal RNA, 468 nt
Filed under: uncultured bacterium
Lineage: Bacteria
Description: partial 16S ribosomal RNA
Rfam family: Bacterial small subunit ribosomal RNA
Source: RNAcentral
GACGAACGCUGGCGGCGUGCUUAACACAUGCAAGUCGAACGGAAAGGCCCUGCUUUUGUGGGGUGCUCGAGUGGCGAACGGGUGAGUAACACGUGAGUAACCUGCCCUUGACUUUGGGAUAACUUCAGGAAACUGGGGUUAAUACCGGAUAGGAGCUCCUGCUGCAUGGUGGGGGUUGGAAAGUUUCGGGGGUUGGGGAUGGACUGGCGGCUUUUCAGCUUGUUGGUGGGGUAGUGGCUUACCAAGGCUUUGACGGGUAGCCGGCCUGAGGGGGGGACCGGCCACAUGGGGCCUGGAAUCGGGCCAGAACUCCUCGGGGGGCAAGAGGUGGGGAAUAUGGAACAAUGGGCGGAGGCCUAAGGAGGCAACGCGGGGUGCGGAAGACCGGCCUUCGGUUGGAAAACGGCUUCCGCCGGUGAGGAGGCGGGAGUGACGGUAAUGGGAGAAGAAGCACCGGCUAACUACGUG